AUGUGCUCUCUUUCCAACCUGAGCCUGGACGAUGAUGUAUUUUACAUGAAGUCCACCCCGAAUCCUGCAAGCCCAGUGGCGUGGCUAGCUGCCGUAAAUGUCAGAGAGAAUCUACUACAACUUAUCCCUUUUACUGCUGAAAUUUCUCACUGCGAGCCAACCUAUCCUCCUUGUGUUUUCUCCAAGUACCUCAAUAAUACUCCAGGACAACACAUGGCUGUGGAGGAUCCGGGGAGGUUGCUUAAUCCCACAAAAGGGCACCCACCAUCAGAGCUAUCGCCUCUAAGUGUUGAGAAAUGGCUUAAAGAACAUGGUCAUUGA
Molecule: ribosomal RNA, 321 nt
Filed under: Triticum aestivum (bread wheat)
Lineage: Eukaryota; Viridiplantae; Streptophyta; Magnoliopsida; Poales; Poaceae
Description: partial small subunit ribosomal RNA
Source: RNAcentral